GAAACGUGCCUGAACUACAAGGAUUAUUUUGAUAAAAUAAUUACAGAGGCUACAACCUCUCGUUUCUUA
This 69-nucleotide transfer RNA is filed under the name Ceratophora aspera. RNAcentral's name for it is "tRNA-Ile". The record is from RNAcentral. Lineage: Eukaryota; Metazoa; Chordata; Lepidosauria; Squamata; Agamidae.